RNAcentral lists this ribosomal RNA (400 nucleotides) under uncultured bacterium. RNAcentral's name for it is "bacterial SSU rRNA". It matches the Rfam family "Bacterial small subunit ribosomal RNA", at positions 355 to 747 of the family's 1533-position model. The record is from RNAcentral.
UGGGGAAUAUUGGACAAUGGGGGCAACCCUGAUCCAGCGAUGCCGCGUGAGUGAAGAAGGCCUUCGGGUUGUAAAGCUCUUUAGGUUGGGAAGAAGCAGUUUAGGUUAAUACCCUGGAUUGUUGACGGUACCGACAGAAUAAGCACCGGCAAACUCUGUGCCAGCAGCCGCGGUAAUACAGAGGGUGCGAGCGUUAAUCGGAAUUACUGGGCGUAAAGGGCGCGUAGGCGGUUAGAUGAGUGUGAUGUGAAAGCCCUGGGCUUAACCUAGGAAGUGCAUCGCAAACGAUCUAACUGGAGUAUAUGAGAGGGUGGCGGAAUUUCCGGUGUAGCGGUGAAAUGCGUAGAGAUCGGAAGGAACGUCAAUGGCGAAGGCAGCCACCUGGCAUAAUACUGACGCU